AAUUUAUGGGUCAUUAUGUCUGCGCAGUCAUCAACAACAACAUCCUAAGAGACAUAAUUAAGAAUUUGCAGAAAUACAUCAAAACAGGGGUAAGUUCCCGAAAACCACUGCACAGAGAGAGAGAGAGAGAUAUAGAUAGAGAGACAGACAGAGAGAGGUCUUAUUUUUGCCUGCCAGUUUGGCACCUCAAAGGGAUUCUCAAGUCAUCACAAAGUCUCAGAAGCAAGAACAUGAAAAGAAAUGUCGAUCCUCCAAGAAAGAACCCCCCUCCCUCCCCCAAGUUCAUGGCAAUGGCGACCAGAUUCACAUCCUGCGAGUACAAAACAUACUUUUUCUUUAGCUUAGCCAUCUAAUAAAGGGAGUAAAUGGAAGCCAGACAAGUACCCAAAGGCAUCAAGCAAAAACCAUCAGUAAGCAUAUGAACUGCAAUCUGGAUCUGCAUAUCUGAGAAAGUAUCAAACUACCCAAUUUGAGUCGAUUCGGUGAGCAAGAGACCAUAAUUUUUAUUUCCCUUAACAGAAUAUAAGUUGAUUGGGGCAGGCUUGAAUCAGCCAGUCCAACUUUGUCCUGCAUGCCCAGACAGCCAGCUGGAGAGGGCUCAACAAGGCCGAAUCCACCAGAUGAGAUGCACACUUGUGUUUCAAUUAGGGAUAUUUAUCCUGAUUUUAAAGCAUAAAUAUCCUUCUCCCCAAAGGAUUCCAAACAUAACCCUAAAAAAUUCACAGCACGGCAUCUGGACUAAAAAGAACUUUCGUUAUAGGCUCCAGAAAUUCUGACCAUAAAAAAUGGAAUAUACAUCAAAAGGUAUAAUAUGGAUAGAUAAAGAAGCAGAACUUUUCUACGAAUCUUGAACUGUACGAAGGUUUACAUGAAUGAAAGCAUCAUAUCUUAUUUGCAUGUAACCAUAAUUUAUGGGAGGGGGACAGGGAGAUUAGUGGCAAAACGACAAAGAACUGAAAUCUGAUGACGUGCCUCAGGGUUGGUUUUCUUAGAGGCUUCUCAUAUAAUAUUAUAAGGUGAAAACGCAGACACUGUUGGCCUCUCCUUGACAGUUAAGAUAAUAAACGUUAUGAAAAGCCCAUAGUCAUUUUUACGAAAAUAAAUCUGUGACUACAAAACUGACUACUAUACUCACUUCGAAUUAGGUUUGAUUUUGAUGACCCAAUAACUUUAACAUGAAACUUGAGAUGAUGACCACCCUCGGGGGGAACAAAAUAUAUCUAUAUUGUCCAUAGGAUAAAAGUCAGGCUGUUAAGAAUAGUCGUGAAUUAGUUGUUAUAAAAAUAAAUUCCUUAUAAUAAAAAUGGACCUACUCAACUCGUUUGUCAAUUGACUUUCAUAGAAUGGCCGGAGAAGUCUAAUAAACUAUCCCAAGAUAGUUUAUUAGUCUUCUAAUAAACUAUCUUGGGAUACGAGAUAAUAUCAAAAGUCAUAUUUUCUGGUCUUGUUGUCCUUCUUUAACUGAUUAUUGCACCCCAGGAGUUAUUGUAUAAAUGUAAUCUGCUCUAAGACAACAAUCAGCAGAUAACGGACCUCCCAAUGGGUUGCUCACCGUUUAGUUGAGAAACCAAAAUGGAAGGAAAUAAAGACAUUCCAUCAGCAGAUUAUGAGCCUUCAAGCUCCAAGUUGUUGGCAGAUCUGGUGAUCCCCUCUCAGAUAUUCAUGAGCGACAGUGAACUUUCAAUAGCGUAUAUUGGCUUGUUUAUUUACGGCCAACAGAAAUAGAAGACUCUCGUCAAAUACUUUAUUAAUGAAUUGACAUUUUUGGUCUACAGAGUAUAAAUUAUAGAAGACCAUUACUUUUGGAUUGGCCAAGAUUUUAAAGAGUUGAUGGUAGAUCUAGAUCCUCUGUCUCAGCUUAAAAUGUCAGCAUCAUUCCGCCAGGUACUGGAAAUCUCAAUUAAACCGUUCUCCUAAUAGUUAGCAAUAUGUUUCGAGAUGAGACAUCUACCAGAAUCUGGUUGGAUGGUUUUCUUCACUCACAGGUCUGUAACCAUUGUGGUAGCUCGUCAUCAUGUUAUUUACUUCCAGACAUCCUGAACUUUUGAGAACGGGGAGGGAUUUCAGAGUUCCUCUACCUGCAAUACUAGACAAUUCAGUGUCAGGGCACCCAUCUAAGGAACAACAGGAAUAUUGCAGUAGGUUCCUUCCACAUGAAUGGGCUGCGCCUGAUACCACAGGGAUGGAGUUAGCAGAUCCUCUGAAGAUAGAGAAACAAGAAGAAGACUAGGACCUGCCCAGAGAUGCUGAAACAGGAAAAGACAGAAGGGAGGAAUCACAUCAAGAAAUGGGAGGUCAAGAGGAGGUGGUAGUAGAAAUAGCUGCGGUAGUGUCAAGGGGACACAUGGAAAUCGAGAAUGACGAAGUGAGGACGUUCCUAGAGCUUGUAGAAAGAAAGACCGGCAAAUAAAAUCAGGUCCCAUUCAAUCGAUAGACCAUGAUGUUCAUGUCCUUAUGGGUGAGGUUAGAAGAAAAUAGGGAAUGAAUAUUGCUGCUACAAGUGUCAGAAUGAGAAGAUUACCAAAUGAGGGAAAGUAGAAGGAAAUAAGGAAAGGAAAGAGCCGAGGGAGAUGUUGGUGCACAAGAAAGGAAGGUCAACGCUUUCACCAUUAUAUGCAGAUAGUCAGAAUGGUGGCAAGGGAGUUAGCAACAAUGUCAUGGAUGAAAGCUAGUAAGGAAAUCAUGAUGAAUAUAAGCGCCACCAGGCUGAUUAAAUUUUCCACAGUAGCCAACAGAACAUAUGGACAAUGUAGCUCAUGGAAGAGUAGCUUGACUCCUGUGAACCAUGGAGAUCCUCU
RNAcentral lists this long non-coding RNA (2798 nucleotides) under Spirodela polyrhiza (greater duckweed). Its description in RNAcentral is "long non-coding RNA (SPOL_LNC002633)". Lineage: Eukaryota; Viridiplantae; Streptophyta; Magnoliopsida; Alismatales; Araceae. The record is from RNAcentral.